RNAcentral lists this ribosomal RNA (694 nucleotides) under uncultured bacterium. RNAcentral's name for it is "bacterial SSU rRNA". It matches the Rfam family "Bacterial small subunit ribosomal RNA", at positions 32 to 715 of the family's 1533-position model. The record is from RNAcentral.
AACGCUAGCUACAGGCUUAACACAUGCAAGUCGAGGGGCAGCAUGGUCUUAGCUUGCUAAGGCCGAUGGCGACCGGCGCACGGGUGAGUAACACGUAUCCAACCUGCCGUCUACUCUUGGGCAGCCUUCUGAAAGGAAGAUUAAUACAAGAUGGCAUCAUGAGUCCGCAUGUUCACAUGAUUAAAGGUAUUCCGGUAGACGAUGGGGAUGCGUUCCAUUAGAUAGUAGGCGGGGUAACGGCCCACCUAGUCUUCGAUGGAUGGGGGUUCUGAGAGGAAGGUCCCCCACAUUGGAACUGAGACACGGUCCAAACUCCUACGGGAGGCAGCAGUGAGGAAUAUUGGUCAAUGGGCGCAGGCCUGAACCAGCCAAGUAGCGUGAAGGAUGACUGCCCUAUGGGUUGUAAACUUCUUUUAUAAAGGAAUAAAGUCGGGUACGUAUACCCGUUUGCAUGUACUUUAUGAAUAAGGAUCGGCUAACUCCGUGCCAGCAGCCGCGGUAAUACGGAGGAUCCGAGCGUUAUCCGGAUUUAUUGGGUUUAAAGGGAGCGUAGAUGGAUGUUUAAGUCAGUUGUGAAAGUUUGCGGCUCAACCGUAAAAUUGCAGUUGAUACUGGAUAUCUUGAGUGCAGUUGAGGCAGGCGGAAUUCGUGGUGUAGCGGUGAAAUGCUUAGAUAUCACGAAGAACUCCGAUUG